GGUCGCAUGGUGUAGUUGGUUAUCACGUCAGCUUAACAAAAUCGACUGUCCGAGCCUUUGGGCAUCGUCAGAUUGACAAGUUCCGCUGAAGGUCCUCAGUUCAAUCCUGAGUGCGAUCA
This is a non-coding RNA of Lasiosphaeria hispida, 119 nucleotides long. The record is from the annotation of a GenBank genome assembly. Lineage: Eukaryota; Fungi; Ascomycota; Sordariomycetes; Sordariales; Lasiosphaeriaceae.